Rhododendron vialii is the source of this 1222-nucleotide long non-coding RNA. RefSeq lists it as uncharacterized. Lineage: Eukaryota; Viridiplantae; Streptophyta; Magnoliopsida; Ericales; Ericaceae. The record is from RefSeq and is a predicted model, not a curated record. The transcript has 3 exons.
CGCACUCUUUCUCUCUCUCAUCACGGCGCCGACGCAAACGAUCGAUUCACCACCGACCUCCGUUGACGCCACCUCUCUCCCUCACCACCGACGCCGCCCCACAGGCAAUCGGUUUCCUGGCGUGGUCUCGAUGUCAAACCUGUUGGCCGGCGUAUAAUCUUGAAGUCUGGGUCGAAGUGCUGAGGUUCAAGGUAGUGGUGGGAAUCCACUCUUGGGGAAACAAGCUGCGGAAGAAUCAAAGCAAGCAAUUGUUGCUUCCCUUAAAGGCUCUGAUCUUGUGUUCAUAAUAGCAGGGUAAAUGGCGAUCUCUAUGUGACUACAAGCAAUGAGAGGGCAAAUUGUGCGACAAUGUCAACGGUUUCACCAACAAUGAUAAGGAUUUGUGACCAAUUUUCAAGCGGCCAAAAUAGGUAAAAAAAUUUGAAUGGCUUAUUUUCUCCACCAGUUUGAUCUGUUGUCUUUAUUGGUUAAAAAAAAUAUACAGCUUUAUAAGAUUGUUUAGUGGUGAAUUGAUGAUCAUAUUAUGCAUCUCUCUUUGUUUGUGUCCCCACCGUGUCGCCGUGUCCCCAUGUCCAACGGUACCCUUUUGGAGUGUCGGUACUUCAUAUUUCUGAAGCUCUCUUUUAACAACUUUGAAGGCAAAUGUUAGCCAGAAUAAUUUUGAUACAGAUAGGUGGGCUAUCUAGGUAAAUCACUUGAAUUCUGAAAGGUGUUGAUACAUCUUAGAACAAGUUUUACUCAACUUUUUUCCAAAAAACUUUUUCCUAAAGCUGAAUCAAGUUGGCACAUUUUUUUUUUGAUCAGCAAAAAUAAUUUUUAUUAAGUUGGCACAUUUUGGAAGGUGCAAGAAUCCAAAACCUGGGAAUUAUAAGCGUUUUAAGUAGUUAGACCUAUCGUGGCUUCUGAUUUCCCCAAUAAUAGUUAUAUUUUGCUUCGAUUUGAGUUUUACACAGAUCCUACGAUUGUUUUGGCUUUUUAGUGAUUUGCGUUGGGCUUCUAAUUUCCCAAUUCGUAUGAUGGUUCAUUCUACUUGAGUAAGGAUUUAAUAGAGAAACCAAGUCCUUUUGUCUCCAUGCAAAAAAAAUUGUUCUUCUUCAUUUACCAUCCCUCUGAAAAAUUAUUUUGCUACAUUGUGCAAAAAAUGUCCAAGUCAUCAAAUUAGGUUGUAAACAAGACAAGGACACAGUUUUGGAUUCAAGUAAAAAUGAUUGAUCGAGGAAAA